Non-coding RNA from Paramuricea clavata, 537 nucleotides. The record is from the annotation of a GenBank genome assembly. NCBI's taxonomy places the organism in Eukaryota, Metazoa, Cnidaria, Anthozoa, Malacalcyonacea, Plexauridae.
CAUUUCUAGACAUAGAUGAAUGUUUAUUAUCUGUCGAUAACUGUCUCAAAAACUCAAACUGCAGCAAUACUGAUGGAUCUUUCUUGUGUUGCAAAACUGGGUACACUGGAAAUGGAAAAGUUUGUGAAGGUAAAUAGAAGCCUUAAUUUUUUAAUACUGCAGUAUUGCAUAAGAUAGACCUACUACUUUGUUGAAAAACUUAAUGUGAUUGUUUACAAAAAAAAUAAAUUCAUUUACUCUUUCUUGAGUGUUAAUGGCAACUGUGUUAUAUAACUUUAGACAUUGAUGAAUGUUCUCUAUCUAUUGUUAACUGUCAUACAAACACCAGACAUCAAUGAGAAAACCUCAUAUUACCUUUCUAGAAAAAGCAAAACAUUUAUACACCUUCUUAAUUGUUUAUAGCGACUGAUUCUAUAAUUCUUUAGACAUCAAUGAAUGUGCUCUAUCAAUUGACAAUUGCCAUGCAAACUCAACCUGCAGCAAUAGUGACGGAUCUUUUCUAUGCGCAUGUAAUAGUGGAUAUAGUGGAAAUGGAAC